Molecule: ribosomal RNA, 498 nt
Filed under: uncultured bacterium
Lineage: Bacteria
Description: bacterial SSU rRNA
Rfam family: Bacterial small subunit ribosomal RNA
Source: RNAcentral
AUUGAACGCUGGCGGAAUGCUUUACACAUGCAAGUCGAACGGCAGCACGGGGCAACCUGGUGGCGAGUGGCGAACGGGUGAGUAAUACAUCGGAACGUGCCCAAUCGUGGGGGAUAACGUAGCGAAGUUACGCUAAUACCGCAUACGAUCUACGGAUGAAAGCGGGGGAUCGCAAGACCUCGCGCGAAUGGAGCGGCCGAUGUCAGAUUAGGUAGUUGGUGGGGUAAAGGCUCACCAAGCCAACGAUCUGUAGCUGGUCUGAGAGGACGACCAGCCACACUGGGACUGAGACACGGCCCAGACUCCUACGGGAGGCAGCAGUGGGGAAUUUUGGACAAUGGGCGCAAGCCUGAUCCAGCCAUUCCGCGUGCAGGAUGAAGGCCUUCGGGUUGUAAACUGCUUUUGUACGGAACGAAACGGUUCUCUCUAAUACAGGGGCGUAAUGACGGUACCGUAAGAAUAAGCACCGGCUAACUACGUGCCAGCAGCCGCGGUAAU